AAAAAGUUUUUGCUCUGUUUUUCCGAAUUAACGAGUUAAUUAUCUCAGAAUUACGAGAUAAUUUUUCAUUAAAAAAAAAUAUUUUGUUCUGUUUUUCUGAAUUAAUGAGAUCCCUCAAAAUCCUACCAGGAGCUCUGUUUUAGCUGGAUUGCAUGGAAGUAAACAUGUCCCGCCUUUCAAGUUUAAUCCGGUUUUAUUUUACAUUGGGUUUGAGACAUUGGGAGAUACUGCUGUCUUUAAGUAAUAUAAAUGGUAUUGUUAUUAGUGCGUCAACUUUGCGCAGACACCUCAAGACUUUGCGCCUGUUCAGGAGAAAAGAACAUUCUGAUCUGCUUGACAUUGCUGUGUUUCUCCAGGAUCAGUUAAACCGAUAUGGUAUGCUUCACGGAUAUAAGAUGAUGCAUCUGAAAUGCAUUCAGGCUGGCUACGUGGUGACACAAGAGACAAUCAGGCAAUUGUUGAAAAUACUGGAUCCCCAUGGAGUGCAACUGAGGCGCCGGAAUCGUCUUCAGCGACGUUUGUAUCAUAAUCCAGGCCCUAACUUUUUAUGGCAUGUUGAUUCAUAUGAUAAACUCAAACCAUAUGGGAUCUGCAUCAAUGGUGCAAUCGACGGGUUUUCACGAAUGAUAAUAUGGCUACAUGCAUACUCUACAAGUAGUGAUCCCAAGGUCAUCGCUGGAUACUUUAUUGAUGCGGUGUCAUCAAGGAAUGGGACAGCCACCCGAAUUCUCUCAGACUUAUGGACAGAGAAUUGUUACAUGGAACAGAUGCAGAUGUUCUUGAGACAUGAUCAUAUGGACUAUUCGAGAAAUUGCUAUUUGUAUGGCUCAAGCAAUCAUCACCAACGGAUAGAGCACUGGUGGGGAUUUUUGAGGAAGCAGCAUGCACAGUUCUGGAUCAACCUAUUUCAAGAUCUAAAAGAUUCUGACGACUUCUCCGGUGACUUCCUAGACAAAAGUCUAAUACAGUUCACAUGUCUUGAAAUAAUAGAGAGAGAACUGCAGGAUGUUGUUCACCUCUGGAACACUCACAGAAUUCGCCCAUCCAGAAAUGCUGUGUCUCCAGGUGGACGUCCAGUGAUGAUGUACACCCUGCCCCAACUUUUUGGUGCUA
Long non-coding RNA from Cyprinus carpio carpio, 1113 nucleotides. Lineage: Eukaryota; Metazoa; Chordata; Actinopteri; Cypriniformes; Cyprinidae. The record is from Ensembl.